UGAGCAAUCUGCCCUUCUCAUCGGAAUAAGCGUUGGAAACGACGCCUAAUGCCGAAUACGACCUCCUUUCGCAUGAUCGGAGGUGGAAAGCUCCGGCGGAGAAGGAUGAGCUCGCGGCCUAUCAGCUAGUUGGUGUGGGUAAUGGCCCACCAAGGCGACGACGGGUAGCCGGCCUGGAGAGGGUGACCCGGCCACACUGGGACUGAGACACGGCCCAGACUCCGUACGGGAGCAG
Molecule: ribosomal RNA, 235 nt
Filed under: uncultured bacterium
Lineage: Bacteria
Description: partial 16S ribosomal RNA
Rfam family: Bacterial small subunit ribosomal RNA
Source: RNAcentral